RNAcentral lists this ribosomal RNA (83 nucleotides) under Vibrio fluvialis. RNAcentral describes it as "partial 16S ribosomal RNA". It matches the Rfam family "Bacterial small subunit ribosomal RNA", at positions 1457 to 1533 of the family's 1533-position model. Lineage: Bacteria; Pseudomonadati; Pseudomonadota; Gammaproteobacteria; Vibrionales; Vibrionaceae. The record is from RNAcentral.
CCACUUUGUGGUUCAUGACUGGGGUGAAGUCGUAACAAGGUAGCGCUAGGGGAACCUGGCGCUGGAUCACCUCCUUAUACGAA